AAUGGAGGUAACUCUGACCCAGCCAUGCCGCGUGCAGGAAGACUGCCUAUGGGUUGUAAACUGCUUUUAUACAGGAAGAACACUGCUACGUGUAGCAGCUUGACGGUACUGUAAGAAUAAGGACCGGCUAACUCCGUGCCAGCAGCCGCGGUAAUACGGAGGGUCCGAGCGUUAUCCGGAAUCAUUGGGUUUAAAGGGUCCGCAGGCGGUCAAUUAAGUCAGAGGUGAAAUCCCAUAGCUUAACUAUGGAACUGCCUUUGAUACUGGUUGACUUGAGUCAUAUGGAAGUAGAUAGAAUGUGUAGUGUAGCGGUGAAAUGCAUAGAUAUUACACAGAAUACCGAUUGCGAAGGUAGUCUACUACGUAUGUACUGACGCUCAUGGACGAAAGCGUGGGGAGCGAACAGGAUU
RNAcentral lists this ribosomal RNA (410 nucleotides) under uncultured Flavobacteriia bacterium. Its description in RNAcentral is "bacterial SSU rRNA". It matches the Rfam family "Bacterial small subunit ribosomal RNA", at positions 370 to 779 of the family's 1533-position model. The record is from RNAcentral. Lineage: Bacteria; Pseudomonadati; Bacteroidota; Flavobacteriia.